RNAcentral lists this long non-coding RNA (958 nucleotides) under Chinchilla lanigera (long-tailed chinchilla). Its description in RNAcentral is "lncRNA (ENSCLAG00000028501.1)". The record is from RNAcentral. Lineage: Eukaryota; Metazoa; Chordata; Mammalia; Rodentia; Chinchillidae.
GCCUCGGGCCAGGCUGGGAGGCAGGAGGAGCUGGAGGUCAGCCGCAGAUGCUGGUGCUGGUCUGGGCCCCUCAUGGACGGGAGCCCACGUUAGCUUCUCCAGCUGCAGCCAGGGCGAGAGAGGCUGUGCUCAGUCUGCUGGUGGCUGCCUGGGAAGCGGCCACAGGCUGCUGCUGAGCUGAGCUGAGCUGAGCUGAGCUGAGCUGGUAGCUUUUGCAAGGGGCUGGAUUCUCAGCUGGAAAACCCUCAGCCUUUUUUUUUUUUUUUUUUUUUUGUGGAGAGAGAGGAGAGGGUUGUCUCUUCUUGCACGAUCUGGGGCUGGGCGUCAUCUCCUUUCUGAUUUUAAGUAGUUCUGUCCAUGAGCACUGACUUCCAGGUGGUCAUUAAGGGAAUCGAGUGCUCCCCACGCUGGAGACAAGGAAGGAUGACAGCUUCUGAGAGCUACUGGUGACAGCUCGGAGGCCCCUAUCCCGUUCAAAAUGCCUUUUAAAGCGUUCGAUACCUUCAGAGAGAAAAUUCUGAAACCUGGCAAGGAAGGCGUGAAGAAUGCUGUAGGAGAUUCACUGGGCAUUUUACAAAGAAAACUUGAUGGGACCAACGAGGAAGAAGACAACAUAGAGCUGAACGAGGAGGGGAGGCCCGUGCAGGCGUCCAGGCCGGCCCGCCCGCUCUGUGACUGCCCCUGCUGCGGGGUCCCGAAGCGCUACAUCAUCGCCAUCAUGAGUGGGCUGGGCUUCUGCAUUUCCUUCGGGAUUCGGUGCAACCUUGGCGUGGCCAUCGUGGAAAUGGUCAACAACAGCACUGUCUAUGUAGAUGGGAAACCAGAAAUUCAGACAGCACAGUUUAACUGGGAUCCAGAGACAGUGGGCCUUAUCCAUGGAUCUUUUUUCUGGGGCUAUAUUGUGACGCAAAUCCCAGGUGGUUUCAUUUCAAACAAGUUUGCUGCUAACAGGUAAGGU